Molecule: non-coding RNA, 537 nt
Organism: Paramuricea clavata
Lineage: Eukaryota; Metazoa; Cnidaria; Anthozoa; Malacalcyonacea; Plexauridae
Source: the annotation of a GenBank genome assembly
UUUAAAUUGCAUCGGUAUAAAAGCUAAGGCAUUUGCUCUGCAGCAACACAAUUCAAAUGCAUGUAUUGGGUUACACAAUGCACCAAUCCACACUGCGGUAGAAGCAUAUAUCAGGGCUGUAGGAGGCUCUUUUCGAUUGUUGGGGGACCUGAAAGCAUAUAUAUGGCUGAAAGCGAGGGCCGAAGGCCCGAGGAAAUUUUUAAAUUUAGAGUCUCUGAAAUGCCAUUUCCUGGACUUUGGGAAAGAUUUGACAGAAUUCUAAUGGUCAGAAAACAGAAUUUUAGUAUGUCGAAAUUUACAAUUUAGUAGUACUAAAUGGGCGAAGGCAAAUUUAAUUAACUAUAUAUUGGAUAAGUUGCAGGAAAGUAUAUGGGUAAUAUCUUCAUUCUUUGCAGUUUGUCAUGGAUUAAAUGAUAAAGGUCUACAUGAUUUUGAAAAAAAAUGAUUAUUAGCAAAUUGCUACGGCCCUGUAUAUAUGAUGCUUGAUUAACUGAGGGGGGAGUUGAAUAUUUCGAAUCUCUAGAUCGUCGGAAAUGG